Long non-coding RNA from Phasianus colchicus (ring-necked pheasant), 2048 nucleotides. RefSeq lists it as uncharacterized. The record is from RefSeq and is a predicted model, not a curated record. NCBI's taxonomy places the organism in Eukaryota, Metazoa, Chordata, Aves, Galliformes, Phasianidae.
UUCCUGCAUAGUGGUUAUCAUUUCUGGAGGAAAGAGGUGACAGAAGCCCCUUUAAAUGAAAUAUCAGGAUUCUCAUUAGUGGCAUCUCUAGGGUAUUUCCUAGGCCAUUUCUCUCCCAGGACAGCCUUCGGAGCAGCCCCUGUCAGACAGGACGUAUGGUCUCCAACACACAGUGCUUUUAAGGCCAGAGAAAGCAGGUCUGGUAUUUCUUGUUCGGGUCCCAUGCACAAUGUUUUCUUUGGCUCUGCCGUUCGUCCUUCUAAAGUGGAUCACGGCUGAAGAAUGACAGAGGUCCAGUGACAAACUUUCAACAUUAUUUAAAAAUGGGGGCAGAAAGCAGAGAGGUCAAACCCUAACGCGGGUGAUGAGGGAAGAGGCGAAUGGGGACUGCGUGUGUUUUUUCUCACAUGUGCUCAGGGGCUGAAAACCAGGAAGAAAAAUCGCACCCAAGUUCCUUAGCUCCCUCAGGAGCGUCUAAUGGGGAAAAUUAAUGAGCUGGAACGUCACGCCGGAGACGGGCGAGGGAGACCUGACAGCCCUGGCGGCUGCAGGAUGAUGGGUUGUGGUCACCUUCAAGGGAGGGGUGGGCAUCAGGGGGUGUGCGUGUGCCAUCUGUGCUCCCACUCACAACUGUGCUCACUGCCAGGGGGAUUUCUGCCUGAGCUGCUCUGGCUGCGAUGAGCAGGAAGGGGCGGCUGCCGAAGGCACAUAGCAAACCUGCUGCCGCGUGGGAAACAGGCUGGAGCGCACGGUCUGGGCAUGCAAGGAAUGGCUUGGCCAGGCUCAGCAGCCUUCAUGAGCUUGUGAUUCCACUCCUUUUCCCAGAGUCUGCCCAGGGCUCUGGGGUUUGUCACGAUGUCCCCUUGCUGGCAGCAGCCCUGUGUCCUGGUUGCACAACUCACGCUGCCCCCACCCCUGUGAUCCUCAGCACCGCCGUGUGCUUGAGACAAUGCUGUGGCAAAAGCCUGGUGGGAGGCAGAGUGCUUUGUGCACAUUGUUUUUGCAAGGGAUUCAAGUACUCGGUUGCAUUGUGCCAGGAGAAGCAGUGGAGCUGGGCAAAUCCAUGCUGUCAAGUCCAGCCCUGCUACUCCCACUCUGUUUCCCUCUGUGAAGUGCUCCAGUGCAGACUUCGCAUCCUUGGGGGCUGGAUAUGAUUCUUUCACCCAAGAUUAAAGCAGUAAUGGUUUGAUGGAAGCACAGCCAGCAAAGUGAACUACCAACGCUGGGCUGUCCCUCCAAUGCUGGCAAGUAGUAGUCAAAAAUGUUUUCUCAGUGCUUUCUCUGAUUACAUUUAUUCAGAACCCAAAGACAAAGCGUGUCCAAGGGGCUGGGAGGAGGCCUCUGAGGAUCCCUGAGCUGAGAUUUGCACCUUCUCUCCCUCCUGAUGGAAGGAUGGGAGCAAUAAUACGGAGGUGGUGUGCCUCAGUUGUCCCUGAACAGGACGCAGUUGGCACAGCUCAGCUUUCUCCAUUGCCUUUCUUCUGGCAAAGUCAGAGCCCUGCUCCUGCCAGUGUGUGAUGUCUGCCUGCCCUGCAGGGAGGAGAGGGGCACAAAGCCCCCAGGGGCACCCACUCAUGCUGUGCUUCUGGGUAUGAGCAUUGUCCCUGGGCAACCCCAAUAUCGAGCUCCCAUCACAGCCGCGAUGGCACGGACACGAGUGAGGAAAGCAACCUAAGAGGCACCGGAGCGUGGCUGCACGCACAAAUGCUUCCACAGACACAUUUCUAGGUAAUAAUCCCCCCCCUGCUGCUUUCUUGCCUUGAUCAAAGCCCAGACAUGAGGGAAGUCCAUCUGUGAAAGAUUGAGCCGUGCGUUUUUUUGCGAAGGUAUAUGGGCUGGCAGCGAAAUUUCUCUGACAAGUCCAACAGGGAAAAAUGGAGAAAUGAAAGCCUUUAAGAUGUGUGCAUUUCCCAGAUGACUGGUGAUGUGUGUGGGUAACAUAUGGGCAGUCCGUGCCCGCUGUCCCACAAAACAUGCUGAUUUCACACUCAGAUUUCUCAGAUUCCCUGACAGCUCUGCAGACCGCCCCCGGCACUGGGUUCUGCAUG